Molecule: ribosomal RNA, 248 nt
Filed under: uncultured Actinomycetales bacterium
Lineage: Bacteria; Bacillati; Actinomycetota; Actinomycetes; Actinomycetales
Description: partial 16S ribosomal RNA
Rfam family: Bacterial small subunit ribosomal RNA
Source: RNAcentral
GGGUGCUCGAGUGGCAAACGGGUGAGUAACACGUGAGUAACCUGCCCUUGACUUUGGGAUAACUUCAGGAAACUGGGGCUAAUACCGGAUAGGAGCUCCUGCUGCAUGGUGGGGGUUGGAAAGUUUCGGCGGUUGGGGAUGGACUCGCGGCUUAUCAGCUUGUUGGUGGGGUAGUGGCUUACCAAGGCUUUGACGGGUAGCCGGCCUGAGAGGGUGACCGGCCACAUUGGGACUGAGAUACGGCCCAG